Molecule: RNase P RNA, 401 nt
Filed under: Rhodospirillaceae bacterium
Lineage: Bacteria; Pseudomonadati; Pseudomonadota; Alphaproteobacteria; Rhodospirillales; Rhodospirillaceae
Description: RNase P RNA component class A
Rfam family: Bacterial RNase P class A
About the family: Ribonuclease P (RNase P) is a ubiquitous endoribonuclease, found in archaea, bacteria and eukarya as well as chloroplasts and mitochondria. Its best characterised activity is the generation of mature 5'-ends of tRNAs by cleaving the 5'-leader elements of precursor-tRNAs.
Source: RNAcentral
CCAGAUGGUCGGAUGACCGCUGUUUUGACCCCUCAAAAGGUUGAGAGAGAGGAAAGUCCGGGCUCCAGACGAAAGAGUGCCGGAUAACGUCCGGCGAAGGUGACUUCAGGGAAAGUGCCACAGAAAACAAACCGCCAGCCUCGCAAGAGUAAGGUAAGGGUGAAAAGGUGCGGUAAGAGCGCACCGCGUCUUUGGUAACAAAGAUGGCAGGGCAAACCCCACUCGGAGCAAGACCGCAUAGGAACCGCCUGUUCGCUUUCGAGCGAACGCCGUUUCGUCACGGCUGUGCAGGUUCGGGUUGGUCGCUCGAGGCGCUUGGCAACAAGCGUCCUAGAUGAAUGGUCAUCCAUCGUGUGCUUUGCGCGCGAGGACAAAAUCCGGCUUACAGACCAUCUGGGGCU